RNAcentral lists this ribosomal RNA (253 nucleotides) under uncultured bacterium. RNAcentral's name for it is "partial 16S ribosomal RNA". It matches the Rfam family "Bacterial small subunit ribosomal RNA", at positions 524 to 776 of the family's 1533-position model. The record is from RNAcentral.
UACGGAGGGUGCAAGCGUUAUCCGGAUUCACUGGGUUUAAAGGGUGCGUAGGUGGCUUUGUAAGUCAGUGGUGAAAUGCCGGAGCUUAACUCCGGAACUGCCAUUGAUACUGCUUAGCUUGAAUCACGUCGAGGUGGAUGGAAUAUUACAUGUAGCGGUGAAAUGCUUAGAUAUGUAAUAGAACACCGAUUGCGAAGGCAGUUCACUAGGCGUGUAUUGACACUGAGGCACGAAAGCGUGGGGAUCAAACAGG